AGCAGUAGCCGCGGGAAUACGAAGGGUGCAAGCGUUACUCGGAAUUACUGGGCGUAAAGCGUGCGCAGGUGGUGGUUUAAGUCCGUUGUGAAAGCCCUGGGCUCAACCUGGGAACUGCAUUUGUGACUGGCAAGCUAGAGUGUGGCAGAGGGGGGUGGAAUUCCGCGUGUAGCAGUGAAAUGCGUAGAUAUGCGGAGGAACACCGAUGGCGAAGGCAGCUCCCUGGGCCAACACUGACGCUCAUGCACGAAAGCGUGGGGAGCAAACAGGAUUAGAUACCCGAGUAGUCCCUGUCUCUUAUAC
Molecule: ribosomal RNA, 303 nt
Filed under: uncultured bacterium
Lineage: Bacteria
Description: partial 16S ribosomal RNA
Rfam family: Bacterial small subunit ribosomal RNA
Source: RNAcentral